Molecule: microRNA precursor, 58 nt
Filed under: Caenorhabditis elegans
Lineage: Eukaryota; Metazoa; Nematoda; Chromadorea; Rhabditida; Rhabditidae
Description: microRNA cel-mir-8206 precursor
Source: miRBase by way of RNAcentral
UAUAUAAUGUAAUCUGAAAUCACAUUAUUUUUCGGGAUUUCAGAUUACAUUCUAUAGG